RNAcentral lists this transfer RNA (77 nucleotides) under Pseudomonadales bacterium. RNAcentral describes it as "tRNA-Arg". It matches the Rfam family "tRNA". From Rfam's summary of the family: Transfer RNA (tRNA) molecules are approximately 80 nucleotides in length. Their secondary structure includes four short double-helical elements and three loops (D, anti-codon, and T loops). The record is from RNAcentral. Lineage: Bacteria; Pseudomonadati; Pseudomonadota; Gammaproteobacteria; Pseudomonadales.
GCGCCCGUAGCUCAGGUGGAUAGAGUGUCGGCCUCCGAAGCCGAAGGUCACAGGUUCAAGUCCUGUCGGGCGCGCCA